Molecule: long non-coding RNA, 1131 nt
Filed under: Sus scrofa (pig)
Lineage: Eukaryota; Metazoa; Chordata; Mammalia; Artiodactyla; Suidae
Description: lncRNA (ENSSSCG00060076269.1)
Source: RNAcentral
AGGGAAGAGAGGGGAUGUUUUCAGGCGGCCUCCAAGGCUGAUGACUCUCCUGCUCUCUAGGCGGUGGCUCCAAGGAAGGAGGCACAUCCCAGGCCAAGAGAGCAGGCGUGGCUGGAACAGAGGAUCCUCACUCAGCAGUGCCUUCAGCAGAGAGGCUGGGGCAUUGCCAGGUGGAGUAAUUUAGCAUCCCGGCCAGGAGGGGGCGCCUGUCCUUCUCCAAAUGCUGCGUUCCGAUCAUCUUGCUCAGCCCUCGGUGGCCAGCAGGUGGCGACGAAACCUGCCCUUGCGGCCUCUUGCCAAGCGCAGGCAGGCGCAGCAUCCCUGCGGUCUUCCCUGCGACCGAAGGCUGUGUUUUUCUCCGGACAGACUGAGGACGUGCCUGUGGGGCUUUGGGACACGGGCCUGGUGGGGCCCCUUGUUCAGAAGAGAAGACCGCCAUCUGAGCCCCAGUUGGAGGAAUGCCUGUUUUCAUUGGCGGCAUCCAGAGUGUCUGCUUGGGGCGUUCCCGCUGAGGCGCUGGUAUCUGCCAGGCGGAGCAGGUAAAGGACCCGACUGUUGCCCCUCACGUUCCAACGGCGCCUCGCAUUUGACCCCUGCCCUGGAAGCUCCACAUGCCUGGGCCGCGGGGUGGCCAAGAAAAGGGGAACCCAUAAAAUAGGGUGUCUGCUUCCCUUCCUCCUCAAGGGCACUGUCCCCUUCUUCACGGGUGCAGAAGAGCUUUCCUAACACCCGCGGCUUAUCACCACAGGGGUAGAAUGUCAAAGCAGUUGAAAAGUACUGUACAUGUAAUGGGGCGUCGUUUUCAAACACAUUCGUUUUAAGUCUCAUCUUUGAAGUCUGUCCAAAUCUGAACUGACAAGAAAUUACUUUCCUGGAUUUCAUGGAAAUUAUCUCUAAUAUAUUUAAUAAUCACCUCUUACUUGAGCUUGUAUCCAAAUUCAAAUGUCGCCAUGCAUGUUGGCUUCUCAUAACACAGUAACCGUCUUAAGUAUUUGUAAAUAUUGGGUCAUUGAAAUGUCUUUUGCAGGAUUGGCCUGUGACUAGCAGUGUUAAAAAUAAUACUAGCCAGGCCACUACCAAAUUUUUUAUAAGAAUGUAAUAAAAAUACUGUGAGUCAUUGUAGGAGAUACA